ACAGAGGUGGCAAGCGUUGUUCGGAAUUACUGGGCGUAAAGGGCGCGUAGGCGGUCGAUUAAGUCCCGUGUGAAAUCCCUCGGCUCAACUGAGGAACUGCACGGGAAACUGGUUGACUUGAGUUCGGGAGAGGGAAGCGGAAUUCCGGGUGUAGCGGUGAAAUGCGUAGAUAUCCGGAGGAACACCGGUGGCGAAGGCGGCUUCCUGGACCGAUACUGACGCUGAGGCGCGAAAGCUAGGGGAGCAAACGGGAUUAGAUACCCCGGUAGUCCUAGCUGUAAACGAUGAGUGCUGGGUGUAGGGGGUAUUAACCCCUCCUGUGCCGAAGCUAACGCAUUAAGCACUCCGCCUGGGGAGUACGGUCGCAAGGCUG
Molecule: ribosomal RNA, 373 nt
Filed under: uncultured bacterium
Lineage: Bacteria
Description: bacterial SSU rRNA
Rfam family: Bacterial small subunit ribosomal RNA
Source: RNAcentral